Molecule: small nucleolar RNA, 206 nt
Filed under: Oryzias sinensis (Chinese medaka)
Lineage: Eukaryota; Metazoa; Chordata; Actinopteri; Beloniformes; Adrianichthyidae
Description: Small nucleolar RNA U3 (ENSOSIG00000001693.1)
Rfam family: Small nucleolar RNA U3
About the family: Small nucleolar RNAs (snoRNAs) are involved in the processing and modification of rRNA in the nucleolus.
Source: Rfam by way of RNAcentral
AAGACUCUACUUUCAGGGAUCAUUUCUUUAGUCUGGAACUAGAGGAUUGUGUUUCUACAGAGGUUGGUCUGGCUGUCCAUGAUGAUGAAUGAAGAUGUUUCCUUCAGAGCAGGAAGCUGGUGAGAAGAUGAAAAUCUUCUUCACUGAUGAAGACUGUUCAGUGUUUCUGGAUCUGACACUGAAGGAGGAAACAUUGUCUGAGUGGA